Molecule: ribosomal RNA, 492 nt
Filed under: uncultured bacterium
Lineage: Bacteria
Description: partial 16S ribosomal RNA
Rfam family: Bacterial small subunit ribosomal RNA
Source: RNAcentral
AGUGAACGCUGGCGGUAGGCCUAACACAUGCAAGUCGCACGGCAGCACAGUAAGAGCUUGCUCUUACGGGUGGCGAGUAGCGGACGGGUGAGGAAUACAUCGGAAUCUACUUUUUCGUGGGGGAUAACGUAGGGAAACUUACGCUAAUACCGCAUACGACCUACGGGUGCAAGCAGGGGAUCUUCGGACCUUGCGCGAUUGAAUGCGCCGAUGUCGGAUUAGCUAGUUGGCGGGGUAAAGGCCCACCAAGGCGACGAUCCGUAGCUGGUCUGAGAGGAUGAUCAGCCACACUGGAACUGAGACACGGUCCAGACUCCUACGGGAGGCAGCAGUGGGGAAUAUUGGACAAUGGGCGCAAGCCUGAUCCAGCCACACCGCGUGGGUGAAGAAGGCCUUCGGGUUGUAAAGCCCUUUUGUUGGGAAAGAAAAGCAGCAGGUUAAUACCCCGCUGUUCUGACGGUACCCAAAGAAUAAGCACCGGCUAACUUCGUG